This 497-nucleotide ribosomal RNA is filed under the name uncultured bacterium. Its description in RNAcentral is "partial 16S ribosomal RNA". It matches the Rfam family "Bacterial small subunit ribosomal RNA", at positions 28 to 507 of the family's 1533-position model. The record is from RNAcentral.
GAUGAACGCUGGCGGCGUGCCUAAUACAUGCAAGUCGGGCGAACGGACGAGAAGCUUGCUUCUCUGAUGUUAGCGGCGGACGGGUGAGUAACACGUGGAUAACCUACCUAUAAGACUGGGAUAACUUCGGGAAACCGGAGCUAAUACCGGAUAAUAUUUUGAACCGCAUGGUUCAAAAGUGAAAGACGGUCUUGCUGUCACUUAUAGAUGGAUCCGCGCUGCAUUAGCUAGUUGGUAAGGUAACGGCUUACCAAGGCAACGAUGCAUAGCCGACCUGAGAGGGUGAUCGGCCACACUGGAACUGAGACACGGUCCAGACUCCUACGGGAGGCAGCAGUAGGGAAUCUUCCGCAAUGGGCGAAAGCCUGACGGAGCAACACCGCGUGAGUGAUGAAGGUCUUCGGAUCGUAAAACUCUGUUAUUAGGGAAGAACAUAUGUGUAAGUAACUGUGCACAUCUUGACGGUACCUAAUCAGAAAGCCACGGCUAACUACGUG